GACGAACGCUGGCGGCGUGCUUAACACAUGCAAGUCGAACGGAAAGGCCUCUUUCGGGGGGUACUCGAGUGGCGAACGGGUGAGUAACACGUGAGUAACCUGCCCUUGACUUUGGGAUAACUUCAGGAAACUGGGGCUAAUACCGGAUAGGAGCUCCUGCUGCAUGGUGGGGGUUGGAAAGUUUCGGCGGUUGGGGAUGGACUCGCGGCUUAUCAGCUUGUUGGUGGGGUAGUGGCUUACCAAGGCUUUGACGGGUAGCCGGCCUGAGACGGUGACCGGCCACAUUGGGACUGAGAGACGGCCCAGACUCCUACGGGAGGCAGCAGGGGGGAAUAUUGCACAAUGGGUGGAGGCCUGAUGCAGCAGCGCCGUGUGCGGGAUGACGGCCUUCGGGUUGUAAACCGCUUUCGCUCAUGACGAAGCUUUGUGUGACGGUAGUGGGUAAAGAAGCACCGGCUAACUACGUG
RNAcentral lists this ribosomal RNA (467 nucleotides) under uncultured bacterium. Its description in RNAcentral is "partial 16S ribosomal RNA". It matches the Rfam family "Bacterial small subunit ribosomal RNA", at positions 28 to 507 of the family's 1533-position model. The record is from RNAcentral.